This 22-nucleotide unclassified non-coding RNA is filed under the name Mus musculus (house mouse). RNAcentral's name for it is "oocyte_clustered_small_RNA6035". Lineage: Eukaryota; Metazoa; Chordata; Mammalia; Rodentia; Muridae. The record is from RNAcentral.
UCAUCCAGUGUCUGGGAUCCAA